AGAGUUUGAUCAUGGCUCAGGACGAACGCUGGCGGCGUGCUUAACACAUGCAAGUCGAACGAUGAAGCCCAGCUUGCUGGGUGGAUUAGUGGCGAACGGGUGAGUAACACGUGGGUGAUCUGCCCUGCACUUCGGGAUAAGCCUGGGAAACUGGGUCUAAUACCGGAUAGGACCUCGGGAUGCAUGUUCCGGGGUGGAAAGGUUUUCCGGUGCAGGAUGGGCCCGCGGCCUAUCAGCUUGUUGGUGGGGUAACGGCCCACCAAGGCGACGACGGGUAGCCGGCCUGAGAGGGCGACCGGCCACACUGGGACUGAGACACGGCCCAGACUCCUACGGGAGGCAGCAGUGGGGAAUAUUGCACAAUGGGCGCAAGCCUGAUGCAGCGACGCCGCGUGAGGGAUGACGGCCUUCGGGUUGUAAACCUCUUUCAGUACCGACGAAGCGCAAGUGACGGUAGGUACAGAAGAAGCACCGGCCAACUACGUGCCAGCAGCCGCGGUAAUACGUAGGGUGCGAGCGUUGUCCGGAAUUACUGGGCGUAAAGAGCUCGUAGGCGGUUUGUCGCGUCGUCUGUGAAAACCCGCAGCCCAACUGCGGGCUUGCAGGCGAUACGGGCAGACUUGAGUACUGCAGGGGAGACUGGAAUUCCUGGUGUAGCGGUGAAAUGCGCAGAUAUCAGGAGGAACACCGGUGGCGAAGGCGGGUCUCUGGGCAGUAACUGACGCUGAGGAGCGAAAGCGUGGGGUAGCGAACAGGAUUAGAUACCCUGGUAGUCCACGCCGUAAACGGUGGGCGCUAGGUGUGGGUUUCCUUCCACGGGAUCCGUGCCGUAGCUAACGCAUUAAGCGCCCCGCCUGGGGAGUACGGCCGCAAGGCUAAAACUCAAUGAAUUGACGGG
RNAcentral lists this ribosomal RNA (898 nucleotides) under uncultured bacterium. Its description in RNAcentral is "bacterial SSU rRNA". It matches the Rfam family "Bacterial small subunit ribosomal RNA", at positions 8 to 917 of the family's 1533-position model. The record is from RNAcentral.